UCCGGUUUGUCACCGGCAGUCUCCUUAGAGUUCCCAGCAUAACCUGAUGGCAACUAAGGACAAGGGUUGCGCUCGUUGCGGGACUUAACCCAACAUCUCACGACACGAGCUGACGACAACCAUGCACCACCUGUCACCGCUGUCCCGAAGGAAAGCUUCAUCUCUGAAGCGGUCAGCGGGAUGUCAAGACCUGGUAAGGUUCUUCGCGUUGCUUCGAAUUAAACCACAUGCUCCACUGCUUGUGCGGGUCCCCGUCAAUUCCUUUGAGUUUCAGUCUUGCGACCGUACUCCCCAGGCGGAAUGCUUAAUGUGUUGACUUCGGCACUAAGGAGUUCGUGCUCCCUAACACCUAGCAUUCAUCGUUUACGGCGUGGACUAC
Molecule: unclassified non-coding RNA, 379 nt
Filed under: uncultured Paenibacillaceae bacterium
Lineage: Bacteria; Bacillati; Bacillota; Bacilli; Caryophanales; Paenibacillaceae
Description: contains 16S-23S intergenic spacer region
Source: RNAcentral